UACGUAGGGGGCAAGCGUUGUUCGGAAUUACUGGGCGUAAAGGGCGCGUAGGCGGCAUGGCAAGUCAGGAGUGAAAGGCCUGGGCUCGACCGAGGAACUGCUUUUGAUACUGCCAAGCUAGAGUGCGGAAGGGGCAACUGGAAUUCCCAGUGUAGCGGUGAAAUGCGUAGAUAUUGGGAAGAACACCUGAGGCGAAGGCGGGUUGCUGGGCCGACACUGACGCUGAGGAGCGAAAGCCAGGGGAGCAAACGGG
RNAcentral lists this ribosomal RNA (253 nucleotides) under uncultured bacterium. RNAcentral describes it as "partial 16S ribosomal RNA". It matches the Rfam family "Bacterial small subunit ribosomal RNA", at positions 524 to 776 of the family's 1533-position model. The record is from RNAcentral.